CACGUAGGGCGCAAGCGUUGUCCGGAAUUAUUGGGCGUAAAGAGCUCGUAGGCGGACUGUUGCGUCCGCUGUGAAAAGCUGGGGCUUAACCCUGGCCUUGCAGUGGAUACGGGCAGACUAGAGGUAGGUAGGGGAGAAUGGAAUUCCCGGUGUAGCGGUGAAAUGCGCAGAUAUCGGGAAGAACACCCGUGGCGAAGGCGGUUCUCUGGGACGGUACUGACGCUGAGACGCGAAAGCGUGGGGAGCAAACAGG
RNAcentral lists this ribosomal RNA (253 nucleotides) under uncultured bacterium. RNAcentral describes it as "partial 16S ribosomal RNA". It matches the Rfam family "Bacterial small subunit ribosomal RNA", at positions 524 to 776 of the family's 1533-position model. The record is from RNAcentral.